Molecule: ribosomal RNA, 449 nt
Filed under: uncultured bacterium
Lineage: Bacteria
Description: bacterial SSU rRNA
Rfam family: Bacterial small subunit ribosomal RNA
Source: RNAcentral
UCCAGACUCCUACGGGAGGCAGCAGUGGGGAAUAUUGGGCAAUGGGCGCAAGCCUGACCCAGCAACGCCGCGUGAAGGAAGAAGGCUUUCGGGUUGUAAACUUCUUUUAUGAGGGACGAAGGAAGUGACGGUACCUCAUGAAUAAGCCACGGCUAACUACGUGCCAGCAGCCGCGGUAAUACGUAGGUGGCGAGCGUUAUCCGGAUUUACUGGGUGUAAAGGGCGUGUAGGCGGGCUUGCAAGUCAGAUGUGAAAACUAUGGGCUCAACCCAUAGCCUGCAUUUGAAACUGUAGGUCUUGAGUGAUGGAGAGGCAGGCGGAAUUCCGUGUGUAGCGGUGAAAUGCGUAGAUAUACGGAGGAACACCAGUGGCGAAGGCGGCCUGCUGGACAUUAACUGACGCUGAGGCGCGAAAGCGUGGGGAGCAAACAGGAUUAGAUACCCCGGUAU